GGCACUCACUCUGGAAACCAGGCUGGC
RNAcentral lists this non-coding RNA (27 nucleotides) under Cricetulus griseus (Chinese hamster). The record is from RNAcentral. Lineage: Eukaryota; Metazoa; Chordata; Mammalia; Rodentia; Cricetidae.